GAGAAGCAACUAUGUACCCUCAUCACUCAGGACUGCCCUUAAUACAUUUUCCUGGAACACACAGGGUCACCACCACACCAGGGAGCCUAUCUGGCGGCCAGGAUGAGCCUGAGGAGCUCCAAGGGACAGUCCCAAGUGAUCUCUAAGUGUUUGGACAUGACGUCAAACGAGCAGUGGCAGCCUCCAGGAGGCACAUCUGAGUAUCAGCCCUUCCGGGUCGAUCCUUUGACCCGAGGCAGGCCCAUGGCUAAUUCCAUCUCUUGUGAGACUGCUUUUCCCCUCCUGUGGCUGGCUGGCUGUUUCCGCUGGACCCCGUGUUUGCUUUUCCCUCCACCCCACCCCUGCAUCUCACGUGUCCCGCGAACGCCUGCCCGAGUCCACCCUCACCGUGAUGCUGGAGUGGCGUCUUAAACCCACUGCUUCAGACACGAUCAUGUCUACCCACGACUGCAGCUGCGGAGGAAGGAGAGCAGAGCGGCUUACAUUCCCGCGCGGAUCCCAGGAGGACACCGUGCCUGCUUCUGGCCUCUGGCCCAGCUGAGUAGCGUCACCGCUUGGCUCCAGGCCACUCUGCGGACUCUCUGGGCCUCUGCCGCCUCCUUCUCAAGGGCAACCACGGGAGCCGUUUCGGAGGUGGCAUGACCUUGAGGGUGGAUGAAGGCCCCUGCACACAGUGAAGUUCUGUCCUAAGGUGUGAGGAUUGAGUGGAGGGAGGAGGGGAAGUGAGCAGAGGGUGAGGAUGCUUGAGGAGGUUUCACUUCUCUUCCAGAACCUUCUUCGGAGAUCGUCCUGGGACUAAUUUGCAAAAACACAAACACCAGUAACUGUCAACAGUGGGAGAUUGGGCCUUAUUAAUUUUUUUGUCCAGCUCCUCCCGUGAGCCUGGGCUCAUUCAGUCUUUCACCCACUCAUUCAUUUAUUCACUCAUUCAUUCACUUACUCGUUCAAAUACUCAUUCACUUAUUCAAUCAUUCAUUCACUCCAUUUUUUCCCCAUUCCUUCAUCAUGCACCCUUGGGGUUACUCUGUGUAGAGGUAAACACAUCUGACAUAUGAAUGACCCAAGCACUAAUGCAGUAGUCGAAGAUGGGCCCUAUCUGGUUGUUGUCCAAUGUUGCGGUGGGGAGGGGGUGUGCCCUGACUCUGCUCCAUCUUGCCGAUCCUUUCCAUGUCCCCUGGGGAAGGUGGGCAGAGCCGAGGGGGUGCAGCUGCUUUAAGGGAUAUUAAAAGUUCACAAGGGCACUUUUCCUUAUAAGGUCUGCCAUGUUUUGGUACGUGUUUUAGUUUCGUAAUAAAUAGACUGAUGCUCAAAUACUGCA
This 1318-nucleotide long non-coding RNA is filed under the name Meriones unguiculatus (Mongolian gerbil). Its description in RNAcentral is "lncRNA (ENSMUGG00000002496.1)". The record is from RNAcentral. Lineage: Eukaryota; Metazoa; Chordata; Mammalia; Rodentia; Muridae.